UACAAGUGUACCUGCCGCGCCAC
This 23-nucleotide non-coding RNA is filed under the name Mus musculus (house mouse). The record is from RNAcentral. Lineage: Eukaryota; Metazoa; Chordata; Mammalia; Rodentia; Muridae.